RNAcentral lists this ribosomal RNA (389 nucleotides) under uncultured bacterium. RNAcentral describes it as "bacterial SSU rRNA". It matches the Rfam family "Bacterial small subunit ribosomal RNA", at positions 30 to 417 of the family's 1533-position model. The record is from RNAcentral.
AUUGAACGCUGGCGGCAUGCUUUACACAUGCAAGUCGAACGGCAGCACGGGUGCUUGCACCUGGUGGCGAGUGGCGGACGGGUGAGUAAUACAUCGGAACGUGUCCAGAAGAGGGGGAUAACGCAUCGAAAGAUGUGCUAAUACCGCAUAUGCUCUGAGGAGGAAAGUAGGGGAUCGAAAGACCUUACGCUUUUGGAGCGGCCGAUGUCUGAUUAGCUAGUUGGUGGGGUAAGGGCCUACCAAGGCGACGAUCAGUAGUUGGUCUGAGAGGACGACCAGCCACACUGGAACUGAGACACGGUCCAGACUCCUACGGGAGGCAGCAGUGGGGAAUUUUGGACAAUGGGCGAAAGCCUGAUCCAGCCAUGCCGCGUGAGUGAAGAAGGCCU